Molecule: ribosomal RNA, 279 nt
Filed under: uncultured bacterium
Lineage: Bacteria
Description: partial 16S ribosomal RNA
Rfam family: Bacterial small subunit ribosomal RNA
Source: RNAcentral
UGCCAGCAGCCGCGGUAAUACGAAGGGUGCAAGCGUUGUUCGGAUUUAUUGGGCGUAAAGCGCGCGCAGGCGGAUUAACAAGUCAGAUGUGAAAUCUCGGGGCUCAACCCCGAAACUGCGUCUGAAACUGUUAAUCUAGAAUCUUGGAGAGGGAAGGGGAAUUUCUCAUGUAGGGGUAAAAUCCGUAGAGAUGAGAAGGAACACCAGAGGCGAAGGCGUCUUCCUGGACAAGUAUUGACGCUGAGGCGCGAAAGCGUGGGGAGCAAACAGGAUUAGAUA